This 253-nucleotide ribosomal RNA is filed under the name uncultured bacterium. RNAcentral's name for it is "partial 16S ribosomal RNA". It matches the Rfam family "Bacterial small subunit ribosomal RNA", at positions 524 to 776 of the family's 1533-position model. The record is from RNAcentral.
UACAGAGGGCGCGAGCGUUGUCCGGAAUUACUGGGCGUAAAGGGCGCGUAGGCGGCCUUCUAAGUCGAACGUGAAAUCCCCGGGCUCAACCCGGGAACUGCGUCCGAGACUGGAAGGCUUGAAUCCGGGAGAGGGAUGUGGAAUUCCAGGUGUAGCGGUGAAAUGCGUAGAUAUCUGGAGGAACAUCGGUGGCGAAGGCGGCAUCCUGGACCGGUAUUGACGCUGAGGCGCGAAAGCCAGGGGAGCAAACGGG